AGAAUACCAAGAUUUCCCUGACUUCUCUCCAGAGCUCUCAGCAUCAAGGCGUGAGACCAUGCCCCUCAAUAUCUCUCCACCAAUACAAGAGCCAGCAUCCCAGGGGGCACAGGAGCCAUUGCCAACAGCACCAACUACACAGAGAACCCCAAGAGCCAGGACCAGGACCCGGAAAGUGCUCACUCCAUGUUAUAUGAAGAGGCUUCAGCACUACUGCGACGAGAACUCCCACCUCCAUCAAAUUGUUGCAAGACUUAAAAAGUC
Rhipicephalus sanguineus (brown dog tick) is the source of this 264-nucleotide long non-coding RNA. RefSeq lists it as uncharacterized. The record is from RefSeq and is a predicted model, not a curated record. The transcript is spliced from 3 exons. Lineage: Eukaryota; Metazoa; Arthropoda; Arachnida; Ixodida; Ixodidae.